CCUCGCUCUCCAUUCUGCUACUAUCUAGAUCUACUCUAAUUUAGAGAAGAGAGGAGAGCUCUCAUCUCUAAACCCUAGCUUUUGCUCUGUCUAUGAAUAAUGAAUGGGGAUGAAGGGGUGUCUCCUCCAGGGGCCAGGGGUCUGCUUAUAUAGCCCCUCCAAAUGAAUGUGGACCGUCGGAUCAAACUGACCUUAAUCGCAUGGUUUUCCUUAAUCCUUUAGGUCGGUGGAGCAUGAUCCGUGAGGCAGGGCCUGAUUGGUCGAGAUAACAGGGCGGGCGCCCAAGGGGGGAGGGCAGGCGCCCUGUCCCUGAGCCCGCUCGGCUUCUCGUUCGUUCCCGUGGCUUCUAGAGUCUUCUAGAUGAUAGAAAAUUGCCGCACACGUUAAUAUCUCUAUGUAAACCGGACGUGUGGGCUUUUCCUCCAUAUUUUCUGAUAACCCCUUGUAGAAAUAGACAAACACCAAAACUUGUGGAGUUCUGUCAGAUAAAACCCUAAGUCUGGGUGUUGGUUGCAUUUGGAUCCUUUUUUGUUUAUUUGAUAACUAAAUUUGGUACUUAAGGACCGUCAACAACUCCCCCAAGCUUACCUCUUGCUCGUCCCUGAGCAAGGAUGGACUCAAGAGUUUCUGCAAUGGUUUCAUGCCUUAAAGGUACACAUGCGUUCAAACAAGAUCUCAUUUGUGGGUUAGGGCAAACUGUUAAGAUUUAAACUUACUCAUAUUACCUUCCAUCAUGGGGCUUGCAACCGUCACUUGUGUCUUGAGCAGUUAAAAGAUAGAACGGUCAAGUCAAGCGCCAUGUCUCUUGUUCUUGAUCAGCUAUAGCUCUAGAGUUUUUGCAGAUUUUCAAAAUAAAACUCAGAGAUUCCUUGCAGGACUCUCUCAAUUCUCUCUUUUGUGGUAUUUCUAGAUCAUCACCAAGACAUUGAUGAUAAAUGCCUUCUCUCAAAGUAUGUGGCAUUUUUGGUAUGAGGCAUAGUGACAUUGCCUUUUCUCUCAUCCUACUCUAAUAAGGCUUUAACAUCUGGAGCUCAUAGGUGGGAGAUAAAGUAUGCAUACUUACAAGACAUUUAUUGCCUAGAAAAACUAUGGAUCCAGAGAAACAAGUCAAUAAGUCAAAUCAUGAUGUGCAUGUGUGGCGAAUGAAUAGUGUAUGGUGAUGAUGGUGUAAUGGUGAAAACAAUGGUGAAAGUCUAUUUCUACUUUUGCCCUUUUGAGGGGAUACAUAACUUUCUUGCACUUUUAAGCUUUUUGAGGGGGAAUGAGAUGCUCUAUAUUUUCUUUUUCUUUUCUCUCAGGUGGGUAUCUUGUACCCCUAAUUCUACUAUCGGACACUUGUCCAUUUUUACCUCUCGUCUCACUUUUUUCUUUUCUUCGAGGUUCCGGGCACUUGCCCCUUUUUAUUUUCUCAUAUUUUUCUUUUUUUUCUUCUCUCUCUUUUUUUAGAGCUCUCACCCUCCUAGGAUAAUGUAGCAAGUGGUAGUAAUCAAAAUAUCUUAAGCAUUUAUUUCACGUGGAAUAACAGGGAUAGGAUAAUGUUUUUGGCUAUUCUCUCCUAGAUAGGAGUAGAAUAAUUUUGGGUAAAUCUGGAGAUGGAAAUGAGUGGAUGUAUGUGGAUGCGUACUUCCGGAGUAGAAGCAACAUGUAUGAGUGAACGUGCAAGUGAAUCUUGAUUUUAACCGCAUGACAAGCUCCUAAGGGUCUACACAGCUUGACCACACUCAAUGCUCAUAAGCAGUAAAAGUAAAUGUAUGGUUCAUAGUCUAAUAAGCAUGUAUAUGUGGCUGUGGUAGGAUUUUAAACUCUCAUCAUACAGGAACUCAUCAUGCAACAUUUUAAAGAUUUUCAAAGAUAAAAUUCUCUAGAAUUCUAGCAUCUCUAGGAACAGAUAAACAGUAGCUCAACCUUCCCAUAUCAUAUCCAUUAACGACUUAGACUUUAGAUCAAGUACACUUCCCACAAGUUAAGGUUUAGAGCAAAUCUUAAUUCAUAACAGUCAUGCCUAAACUUGAGAGAGAAUUCGAUUUUGAGAACUAGUCAUGGCAGAGCAACUAUUCAUCAUUUCCAUGUGAGAGCUUAUCAUGAGGGUUCAUAGCAAACUUUAUUUAUUUAUUUAUUUAGCAAACUAGACAAAGAUAUAUAUAUAAGCAUAAAAUCUUUAUUUGGGUUUUUAUGAUUAUGCAUCUUUUUAUUGUUUGAGUAAAGUAUAAACGCAAAUAUAAACACUUAGCUGGAUAAAUGGGGGUGCUCUCCCCAAGCUGGAUUUUGACGUAAUUUCUUCUAAUGUAGCUAGCAGGUGGCGGAGGUGUAUUUGAAUGUCGGCAGCACCUUGACAACGAUUAGGAUGUCCUCCGUCUGCUAGUCUUCUUUGAUCCUUGAAUUCUGUGGAGCUCAAAUAGACAACAAAGCUUUGUGAAACUGGUUAAGUGUUAGCAUAAAAUCUCUUUGCCUUUAUCAUGUUGAGCUUCCUCUAAUAAAUAUUACUCUCUUUGGUAGGAUCAUAAAUUUAUUUUUAUAUUUUCAUUUCUAUAGGAUAGGAAUAUAUUUAUUUUAUUUUUACGCCACCACAGUGAAUGUACUUAUGUGUUUUAUGCCACGAGCAUACUCACACGGGGCUUGCAAUUUUUAACAUUUUUAUUUUCUAUGCAAGAUAACAUGAUUAACUAACAAGCCAUUUAAGGAAAGUAAAUAAUUUAAGGGAAAAGGGAAUGCAGAAAGGAUAAAUAUGGAUAACUACCGAUUUUACCUUUCGGCAAGGGUUCAAUGUUUUAAGUCUUCUGAACAAGACUUCUCACCGUGUUCAUUCUUCAGGUGCGUCAUUUGAUUCAGGUGUGGACCUUGAUGUCUGCACCUCUUGAUACGGUGUCACCCAUGUUCUUCAUUUGACCAACAGUUCGAAAUGUGGCGUUGGCAGUAUCUUGCUCAGUGUGUUUGUGCUCGUAGAUCCAGGUCCUUCACUUGGUAGAGUCUAGGAGAUGAAAAAUCCUCCAUGUUUCUCAAAAUGUGUCCUGCUCAUAGAGACAAGGCAGAGAUCAAGUGCAUGGGUCCCGUUCGUGGAAAACACCAACAGAACCAAAAGUAUAUUUAUUCUUCUCUGUCCUUAAGCAUAGGGAGCAAGACAAAGUUGAUGGGUGAUAAGUUCAUGAGUGUAGCAUUUAAAACAUUUGUCAAAUCAGAUCGCUCAACCUUAUGGAAAGAUAAUCUAUCUAUGUAUAUGUCUUUUUCUUUAUAUCUUCCCAAAGAUUGAAUGUGCAACAUUUUAGCUCAUAUGAUUAGGAGUGUGGGAUCAUGGAGGUAGUACUAGGAACAAAGAUUAGAGGACUAAACAUGCUGAAUCAGUUGGGUUGGUUAAUUUGGAGUUAUAAAUCACACAUGUUUGUCUCUUUAUUUAUGUGAAUGCCAGAACUAAGGAGAAGCUUAUAAAACUGAUAGUCACAUAUCUUAAGAUGUUACCUUAAUUGAAGAGUGAUGGUACCAUCUUACCUUGUGGAAGCUUCCCAUUCGUAGUGGCUGUGUAUCAUAUUUAUGUACUUUGUCUCCUUCCAUGGAUCAUCUCUCUAUGACGAAUGAGCUAUGUCCUUCUUGUUCAAAUUGUCAAACUUCAUGUGUCUCUCUCUUCAUCUCUGAUGUGAUUUUAUCUCAGGACUUGCCAAAUCGAUAUUGAAAGUUUUUCUGUAGCGGUUAGUCCGACAAAAUAUACCAAUGUCUACACAAGCAAUUUUUAGUUCAAUAACCAAACUAGACUCCAUGUCUAAUCAGAUUAAGAAAGGCUGUUUAACCUAAGCACCAUGCUUAAUUUAAAAGCCAAUAGAAUUAUGUGCAGUACUUCCAAACUAACACUUACUAGGAUAAACAAAGGUAGCGUGAUGGCAUUUAUAGAGAUCUACUCAAGUGGAGAUGAAGUAGUGUGAUUAGUAUUUAUUCAAUUUACCAUGUCUCAAUGGCAAGGACAACCAACAAAGCAACAUGACAAAGGAUGUUUUUAUGUAAGGUACUCCCCCAAGCUUGAAUUUUGCAAAAUUCAAGUUUGGAUGAAUUUAAUUCAGUGUUGCAUGAUGAUUGGUUGGACAUAUCUUCAUGUUCCAAUCCUGGAAAGGUUAGUGACAAGAAUACCUGAAGGAAUAUUUUUACAAUUAUCCUUAUAUGCUCAAUACACCAGGUAAUGUUGCAAAUAAUUAAAAGCUCAUGUUACGAUCUGAUCAGUGCUUAUUUUAGGACACUAAGCUUGUCCUUGGGAAACCAUCAAUUUAUGUUGGCGAAGUGGUUUCCCCUCCAACGCCAACCUUUGUAUAUAAAGAUUAGCUCAACGAGAUCUGCAAUAUUUAGUAUAGACAUAUGCAUCGACAACCGCCCUUUUAAAGUUUUUUUAAAU
RNAcentral lists this long non-coding RNA (4372 nucleotides) under Sorghum bicolor (sorghum). Its description in RNAcentral is "long non-coding RNA (SBIC_LNC002823)". Lineage: Eukaryota; Viridiplantae; Streptophyta; Magnoliopsida; Poales; Poaceae. The record is from RNAcentral.